AUGGCUUUCGGAUGCGAAACACACAGCCACCUUCCAGCGUCCGUCAUGCGUUUGGUCAUUUUGUCUCUUCUUCUGCAAACCGCAGAUACAGUGAUACAUCAAUAUCCACCUUUAGUAAGAGGUGAUAUCGGGAGCAAUAUAAGCUUGACUUGCCUCAUCGAAGACAUGACUGGCUACUGCUUCUCUGUUGUGUGGUUUAAGCUGGAGCUGAAGCGCUCCCCGCAUUUGAUCCCUUUCAACGCGUAUGUCCGAGGAUCUGACGUUUCCACUGGGGAACCGGUCGAUAAAACCUGUGUGCUUACCCUGAUCAUCCGAGAGGAAAACGACUCUGGCACCUUCUUCUGCGCUUAUGUGCGAGGCUCAUCGGUUUAUAUUGGAAAUGGAUCGACAGUUGUCGUAAGAAAUGUCACCGCAGGAGUUGUAAAACCCAUGAGCAUUGUGACCAUCACGCCCGACAACAGAGUCCCAUCUGAGAACAACACGGCUGAAUUAGUGUGCGUGGUUUUCCGAGCCCUUUCCGACCAGCUGCGCGUCCACUGGGUGAUAGCAGGACAGGUGCGGCAGGGGAUGAAGGCAUCCGGGGCAAUGCCUUCAGGUGAGGUCGCUCCAAACAUCAUCAGCAAUCGCAUCAUCAUUGAGGAGAGGGCCUGGAAAGACGGCACUCCGUUCACUUGCGUGGUAGAAACAGAAACCGGACAGCGUUUUAACAAGACCGUGAGCAAGAAAGGUGGAAUUCAGCUCACCCUGACACUGCUUAGAGUGCUGGAAAUCCUGCUGUUCUUUCUUGCAGUGAGCAUCACAGUGUGUUUUCUAUCCAAGAAGAAGUGAAGCUGUCUUUACAGACCCUCCCAAUUUAUUUUUUGCUUUUGUCUUUUCAUCCUGUUAUAAUAUAAUACCCUUUUCAUUAUAAUUCAACAUUUCUUCUAAUAAACAAUGCAGU
RNAcentral lists this long non-coding RNA (940 nucleotides) under Lepisosteus oculatus (spotted gar). Its description in RNAcentral is "lncRNA (ENSLOCG00000021743.1)". Lineage: Eukaryota; Metazoa; Chordata; Actinopteri; Semionotiformes; Lepisosteidae. The record is from RNAcentral.